UACGAAGGGGGCUAGCGUUGUUCGGAAUUACUGGGCGUAAAGCGCGCGCAGGCGGUCUUCCAAGUCAGUGGUGAAAGCCCGGAGCUCAACUCCGGAACUGCGAUUGAAACUGUAAGACUUGAGGAUGAGAGAGGUGAGUGGAAUUCCCAGUGUAGAGGUGAAAUGCGUAGAUAUUGGGAAGAACACCGGUGGCGAAGGCGGCUCACUGGCUCAUAUCUGACGCUCAGGCGCGAAAGCGUGGGGAGCAAACAGG
This 253-nucleotide ribosomal RNA is filed under the name uncultured bacterium. RNAcentral's name for it is "partial 16S ribosomal RNA". It matches the Rfam family "Bacterial small subunit ribosomal RNA", at positions 524 to 776 of the family's 1533-position model. The record is from RNAcentral.